CAUGCUGUAAACGUUGGGCACUAGGUGUGGGGGCCUUUCCGGGUUUCUGCGUCGUAGCUAACGCUUUAAGUGCCCCGCCUGGGGAGUACGGCCGCAAGGCUAAAACUCAAAGGAAUUGACGGGGGCCCGCACAAGCGGCGGAGCAUGCGGAUUAAUUCGAUGCAACGCGAAGAACCUUACCAAGGCUUGACAUACGCCGGGAUCAUGCAGAGAUGUGUGAGUCUGUGGACUGGUGUACAGGUGG
This 244-nucleotide ribosomal RNA is filed under the name uncultured bacterium. Its description in RNAcentral is "partial 16S ribosomal RNA". It matches the Rfam family "Bacterial small subunit ribosomal RNA", at positions 796 to 1041 of the family's 1533-position model. The record is from RNAcentral.